ACAAGGAUUCCCCUAGUAACGGCGAGUGAAGCGGGAAAAGCCCACCAUGAAAAUCCAUUUGGAAUUGUAGUCUGUAGAAGCACAACCAGCUGUUUGGCUCGGUUCGAGUCCCUUGGAAUAGGGCAUCCAUAGAGGGUGAGAGUCCCAUUCGUGGCCGAGAUGUUGAGCAGCGCACGGUUUGUUUUCGAAGAGUCGAGUUGCUUGGGACUGCAGCUCCAAGUUGGUGGUAAAUUCCAUCAAAGGCUAAAUACUGGCGAGAGACCGAUAGCGAACAAGUAGUGUGAACGAAAGAUGAAAAGAACUUUGAAAAGAGAGUUAAAGAGUACCUGAAAUCGUUGAAAGGGAAGUGACGGCUACCAGUGUUUUUGCGGGAUGUUUAUCUAGCCGCCAGGUUGAGUGUGCAUCUCGUGGAAAGUCUGCGUGGGUUGCCUUUAUGCGGCGAGAGGCAUGUCUUGCGACCCUUGUGGUGCUUGGCGUGUACCAGCCGUGUGGCGACUGAGGAGCAUUGCUUGUUGACUUUUUCGGAAGAUCUGAAGCAAAAGGACGCAGACGAAAUGGUAGUCAUCAGCCCGUCUGGAACACGGACCAAGGAGUCUG
RNAcentral lists this ribosomal RNA (597 nucleotides) under Oxyrrhis marina. RNAcentral's name for it is "partial Eukaryotic large subunit ribosomal RNA". It matches the Rfam family "Eukaryotic large subunit ribosomal RNA", at positions 68 to 677 of the family's 3401-position model. The record is from RNAcentral. Lineage: Eukaryota; Dinophyceae; Oxyrrhinales; Oxyrrhinaceae.